CAGGCCCUGAAUGAAGGCUCAUCGCUUGCUGUAGCCAUAAGUUUCAAGCAGGUGCCCAGAGGAAAAUUUUCCCAUGGUCUUUUGGCUGUUUUGAAUUUCAGAAUGGAAUAGCCAAUUCACUGGGAAGUAACAUCC
Molecule: small nucleolar RNA, 135 nt
Organism: Varanus komodoensis (Komodo dragon)
Lineage: Eukaryota; Metazoa; Chordata; Lepidosauria; Squamata; Varanidae
Source: Ensembl